GAUGAACGCUGGCGGCGUGCUUAACACAUGCAAGUCGAACGAAGCAUUUAAGACAGAUUACUUCGGUUUGAAGUCUUUUAUGACUGAGUGGCGGACGGGUGAGUAACGCGUGGGUAACCUGCCUCAUACAGGGGGAUAGCAGCUGGAAACGGCUGGUAAUACCGCAUAAGCGCACAGUACCACAUGGUACAGUGUGAAAAACUCCGGUGGUAUGAGAUGGACCCGCGUCUGAUUAGCUUGUUGGCGGGGUAACGGCCCACCAAGGCGACGAUCAGUAGCCGACCUGAGAGGGUGACCGGCCACAUUGGGACUGAGACACGGCCCAGACUCCUACGGGAGGCAGCAGUAGGGAAUAUUGCACAAUGGAGGAAACUCUGAUGCAGCGGCGCCGCGUGAGUGAAGAAGUAGUUCGCUAUGUAAAGCUCUAUGAGCAGGGAAGAUAGUGACGGUACCUGACAAAGAAGCUCCGGCUAAAUACGUG
RNAcentral lists this ribosomal RNA (481 nucleotides) under uncultured bacterium. RNAcentral's name for it is "partial 16S ribosomal RNA". It matches the Rfam family "Bacterial small subunit ribosomal RNA", at positions 28 to 507 of the family's 1533-position model. The record is from RNAcentral.